This 1752-nucleotide long non-coding RNA is filed under the name Nicotiana tabacum (common tobacco). Its description in RNAcentral is "long non-coding RNA (NTAB_LNC004658)". The record is from RNAcentral. Lineage: Eukaryota; Viridiplantae; Streptophyta; Magnoliopsida; Solanales; Solanaceae.
AGGGCUGACUAUGGUAAGAUAGAAAGAGUUGUGCACUCUCUUCCUUUUUCUAUGGAUAAAAUAAAAAUCGAACAGAAGCAGUUGGAUGAUGAAUUCAAUCGUUUGAUGCGUGUUGUUAUGCAGCUUAGAGGUGUUUUUCCCGAUUCUCUAUGAUCAUCUCUGAUUUUGAUGAUAAUGCAAGAGUUAUCUCAGAUUCUGAUGAUGAAUUAAUUAGAGAAGUUGAUGAGUAUCACCGUCCGAGUUUUAUGCACUCUUCGUUUCUUAAAAAAUUAAAAGAAAGUCAUGAUCAUUGUUUGUGCUUUAGAUCUUGGUUCAGAAUUGAGUCCACCUCCUCUACUAUGCGAAAAAUAAAGUCAGUUUUAACUUUGUGGAGUGAUUUUCUUGAUGAUUCCAUAUAUGUAGGUCAUUGGUUCUCAUGUUUCAUCUGUCAUCAGUAUUUCACUAGUACACACUUUCAUUUUAAAGAACUAGUUUCAAAAGCACUGCCAGUAUGUUGAGGAACUAGCUACAUGGAGCUUGUUUUUCACAAGUAGAGGAACGUGUGACUAGUGAAACCGAUUCUAAUUGCUUCUCUUAAUGCAUGCAUUUGCAAAUUGAGCUUAUAACAAUGUAGAUAGUGUUGUUGCAAACUCUUGUUCCUUGACCGAUAGAAAGAUAUUAUAUUUAGGAUCACUUACUCCUCAGUAUUCACCAGGAGCUAUUACUAGGUAUAUGUUUGUGAAACUUACUGUGCUUUGCAGCAUGAAAGUGUAGAAUUUUUGUUGGUGUUCAUGGAAUGUAGUAUUUUUUAGGGUUGGAGAAGUCAAAUAUUCCUUGGAUGCAGACCAUUCCUCAGGAUUCACCCUCAUUUUCCUUUGAUGGGUGCCUGCCUUCUAGUUGGACCAUUCCUCUUUCUGAACUCAUCACUCUAAUCUCGGAAAUGAUAUUUCUGGAACACUUGUUCGUGGGAAAAACCUCUUUCGCUAUAGCGGUUUUUAUUGUGUAAGUAGAGGGUUAAAAACUUCAUAUGUAUGUGACUGCUGAACUGGAUUGAUGCUAUAUGCAUAGCAGUCUUGCCUCGCUAACUAGCCGUCCUCUUAUCCUUUUUCGUGCAUGUGUUCUUCAAGUGUCUGAUAGUGUUAUCUCUCUUGAUCAUCAGUUAUCGUUAUGAAAGGAGCUUUGUCAACAAAAUCGUACAUUUCUGGGAGCAUGCUGACCAAAGAAUAAAGUCACUCUAGCGAGAUCAAUUUACCCUACCAUCAAUUCUCAGACUUAUGGAUGCUCUAUCUUGAGAUUCACUUUGACAUGGUACCUCCGUGUGCUGGUAAAACCGUGAGUUUAGCUAAAGCAUGAUUAGCAUUUAUUCUUUCAACAGUAAGAUGGCAGUCCACUCGUUAAUGCAUAUCAUUCAUUGUUUGAUUGCAAAUAGAAGUCAAGUUUACAUUUCUUUAAGAUUUGUUUAAUGCUGCAAGCUGGUUUGUUAGUCAUUAGGUUCCAGGGAAAAUGUAAGUGAUGCUGGGAUCCGUGAUAAUUAUUCAGAUUGAUGAAUAGGCCCUUGUCCAGUUCAGAAGGAUGUAGGUAUUCAGAUCAAUGACAGCAAAUUAUUUAUGAUUUAACCCCUUUAAAAGAUAUUUAAGAAGAUCAGUAACUCUUUAGUUUACUACUCCAUCAGUUUAUUUCAAAUCUCCUAUUGUGGGCUGAUAUUGAGUCUGGUGUUCUCUUAGCAUUGACUGCCAGAUCCAUCAAGUAAUACAAAGGUAAAUUGUAUAAGGG